RNAcentral lists this ribosomal RNA (253 nucleotides) under uncultured bacterium. RNAcentral describes it as "partial 16S ribosomal RNA". It matches the Rfam family "Bacterial small subunit ribosomal RNA", at positions 524 to 776 of the family's 1533-position model. The record is from RNAcentral.
CACGUAGGGGGCAAGCGUUGUCCGGAAUUAUUGGGCGUAAAGAGCUCGUAGGUGGCCUGUCGCGUCGGCUGUGAAAACUCGGGGCUCAACUCCGAGCUUGCAGUCGAUACGGGCAGGCUAGAGUUCGGCAGGGGAGACUGGAAUUCCUGGUGUAGCGGUGAAAUGCGCAGAUAUCAGGAGGAACACCGGUGGCGAAGGCGGGUCUCUGGGCCGAUACUGACACUGAGGAGCGAAAGCGUGGGGAGCGAACAGG